UAUAUAUUAUUUUUUUAUUUAUCAUGAGCAGUCACAUUAUUAAAAAGAAAAUAUUAGUCUGCUACUCGAUUUUAGUAGAUUUGUAAUGUAAUAAU
Ipomoea nil (Japanese morning glory) is the source of this 95-nucleotide long non-coding RNA. RefSeq lists it as uncharacterized. Lineage: Eukaryota; Viridiplantae; Streptophyta; Magnoliopsida; Solanales; Convolvulaceae. The record is from RefSeq and is a predicted model, not a curated record. The transcript has 3 exons.